GGAUUUGGUAGCCCCGAAGUGUGGGCUCUCUCCAGUACCAGACUCAUUUCAGUACCAGCCUUUGGGAAGUCGUGUGAAUACCUCGGUCUCUUAGCCACAGGGACAGAAUGGCGGCCUGACGGAGCCGCGGCGCCGGCGAAGUCGCUGAGGCGCGAGCUGGAACCCCCAGACCAGCUCAAACGGGAGCCAAAACUCGAAGCUUGGAAGAAUUAGCAGGAAAUGGCGGAUGAGGCGUUGUUUUUGCUUCUCCAUAACGAGAUGGUGUCUGGAGUGUACAAGUCCGCGGAGCAGGGGGAGGUGGGCAUCUAUGUACUUCAGGACAACAAAUUUCGCCUGCUUACUCAGAUGUCUGCAGGAAAACAGUAUUUAGAACAUGCAUCUAAGUAUUUAGCAUUUACAUGUGGCUUAAUCAGAGGUGGCUUAUCAAACUUGGGAAUAAAAAGUAUUGUAACAGCUGAAGUGUCUUCAAUGCCUGCUUGCAAAUUUCAGGUGAUGAUACAGAAGCUGUAGAACAUACUGAAAUGCAAGGCUUCAACAGUGUAAAGAGAUAAAUUAUUCAUGUAAAAGUAUUUCAAGUAGUGAUGAUUUAAUUACAUUGUUCGAUGUUUGUACAGGAGUAAGCAUGUAUUUUUAUCAAUUUAACACAGAUCAAAGGAGAUGAAGGGACAUUCUGCCAUGACAUACACUUAACCAAAACUAUUCAAAAUGAAAACCGGAUUUCAAAUAACCAGACAUCAAGAUGCAGGGCCCUUAUUUUAAACCUUUUUAUUUGGUUAGAGUGAUAUGUAUUUAGCCAUAGAUGGAGAAACAAAGCUCAGGGUUUGUUGAAUUAGCAUGAGAGAAAAUUAUGUACCAACAGAAUUAUUUGUG
Molecule: small RNA, 870 nt
Filed under: Pan troglodytes (chimpanzee)
Lineage: Eukaryota; Metazoa; Chordata; Mammalia; Primates; Hominidae
Description: processed transcript
Source: RNAcentral